GCGGGUAUCGUAUAGUAGCAGUACAUCACCCUUCCAAGGUGAAUGCGCGGGUGCAAAUCCCGCUACCCGCU
RNAcentral lists this transfer RNA (71 nucleotides) under Candidatus Yanofskybacteria bacterium RIFCSPHIGHO2_01_FULL_44_22. Its description in RNAcentral is "tRNA-Gly". It matches the Rfam family "tRNA". Rfam says of the family: Transfer RNA (tRNA) molecules are approximately 80 nucleotides in length. Their secondary structure includes four short double-helical elements and three loops (D, anti-codon, and T loops). The record is from RNAcentral. Lineage: Bacteria; Candidatus Yanofskyibacteriota.